UACGUAGGCAGCGAGCGUUGUUCGGAGUUACUGGGCGUAAAGAGUGCGUAGGCGGUUUCGCAAGUUUGGUGUGAAAUCUCCCGGCUUAACUGGGAGGGUGCGCCGAAAACUGCGAGGCUUGAGAGUGGGAGAGGUAAGCGGAAUUCCCGGUGUAGCGGUGAAAUGCGCAGAUAUCGGGAGGAACACCAGUAGCGAAGGCGGCACUCUGGGCCGUGACUGACGCUGAGGAGCGAAAGCGUGGGUAGCAAACAGG
RNAcentral lists this ribosomal RNA (253 nucleotides) under uncultured bacterium. RNAcentral's name for it is "partial 16S ribosomal RNA". It matches the Rfam family "Bacterial small subunit ribosomal RNA", at positions 524 to 776 of the family's 1533-position model. The record is from RNAcentral.